Molecule: ribosomal RNA, 497 nt
Filed under: uncultured bacterium
Lineage: Bacteria
Description: partial 16S ribosomal RNA
Rfam family: Bacterial small subunit ribosomal RNA
Source: RNAcentral
GAUGAACGCUGGCGGCGUGCCUAAUACAUGCAAGUCGAGCGAACAGACGAGGAGCUUGCUCCUCUGACGUUAGCGGCGGACGGGUGAGUAACACGUGGAUAACCUACCUAUAAGACUGGGAUAACUUCGGGAAACCGGAGCUAAUACCGGAUAAUAUAUUGAACCGCAUGGUUCAAUAGUGAAAGACGGUUUUGCUGUCACUUAUAGAUGGAUCCGCGCCGCAUUACCUAGUUGGUAAGGUAACGGCUUACCAAGGCAACGAUGCGUAGCCGACCUCAGAGGGUGAUCGGCCACACUGGAACUGAGACACGGUCCAGACUCCUACGGGAGGCAGCAGUAGGGAAUCUUCCGCAAUGGGCGAAAGUCUGACGGAGCAACGCCGCGUGAGUGAUGAAGGUCUUCGGAUCGUAAAACUCUGUUAUUAGGGAAGAACAAAUGUGUAAGUAACUAUGCACGUCUUGACGGUACCUAAUCAGAAAGCCACGGCUAACUACGUG